Molecule: non-coding RNA, 160 nt
Organism: Camellia sinensis
Lineage: Eukaryota; Viridiplantae; Streptophyta; Magnoliopsida; Ericales; Theaceae
Source: RefSeq, a predicted model, not a curated record
AAGUUCAGAGCCCUUUUUUGUGGAGAUCCUGCCACUACAAUGAAGUUGGCAAUCAUGCUGUUUGUUUUGGCGAGGUUUGGCAGCACCAUAACUAUUUGGAAGAUCGCCAAAUUGGGGUUUUUUGGAGUAUUCAGCUUACCAAAGAUAUGCUCAUCGUAUU